RNAcentral lists this ribosomal RNA (252 nucleotides) under uncultured bacterium. RNAcentral describes it as "partial 16S ribosomal RNA". It matches the Rfam family "Bacterial small subunit ribosomal RNA", at positions 524 to 776 of the family's 1533-position model. The record is from RNAcentral.
UACGGAGGAUGCGAGCGUUAUCCGGAUUUGUUGGGUUUAAAGGGUGCGCAGGCGGAUUUUUAAGUCAGCGGUCAAAUCGUGGGGCUCAACCCCAUCCAGCCGUUGAAACUGGGGAUCUAGAGUGUGCGAGAGGUAUGCGGAAUGCGUGGUGUAGCGGUGAAAUGCAUAGAUAUCACGCAGAACCCCGAUUGCGAAGGCAGCAUACCGGUGCACAACUGACGCUCAGGCACGAAAGCGUGGGUAUCGAACAGG